Octodon degus (degu) is the source of this 107-nucleotide small nuclear RNA. Lineage: Eukaryota; Metazoa; Chordata; Mammalia; Rodentia; Octodontidae. The record is from Ensembl.
GUGCUCACUUAGGCAGUACAUAUACUAAAAUUGGAAUGAUACAGAGAAGAUUAGCAUGGACCCUUCACAAGAAGGACACACAAAUUCGUGAGGCAUUCCAUAUUUGG